This 774-nucleotide ribosomal RNA is filed under the name uncultured bacterium. RNAcentral describes it as "bacterial SSU rRNA". It matches the Rfam family "Bacterial small subunit ribosomal RNA", at positions 8 to 796 of the family's 1533-position model. The record is from RNAcentral.
AGAGUUUGAUCAUGGCUCAGGAUGAACGCUGGCGGCGUGCCUAGUACAUGCAAGUCGAGCGCCUGGACUUUGCCCAUUAACCCCUGUUAGUGAGUGAUGUCCAGGAGCGGCGGACGGCUGAGUAACGCGUAGGAACGUACCCCAAACUGAGGAAUAAGCUCCGGAAACGGAGUCUAAUGCCGCAUGUGCUCUUCGGAGUAAAGCUUUUAGCGGUUUGGGAGCGGCCUGCGUAUGAUUAGCUUGUUGGUGAGGUAAUGGCUCACCAAGGCGAUGAUCAUUAGCUGGUCUGAGAGGAUGAUCAGCCAGACUGGAACUGAGACACGGUCCAGACUCCUACGGGAGGCAGCAGUAGGGAAUUUUCCGCAAUGGGCGAAAGCCUGACGGAGCAACGCCGCGUGCAGGAGGAAGGCCUUCGGGUCGUAAACUGCUUUUAUCUGUGAUGAAUUUGACAGUAACAGAAGAAUAAGGACCUGCUAACUACGUGCCAGCAGCCGCGGUCAUACGUAGGGUCCAAGCGUUAUCCGGAAUUACUGGGCGUAAAGAGUUGCGUAGGUGGCAUAGUAAGCAAAUAGUGAAAGCGUGAGGCUCAACCUCAUAUCCAUUAUUUGAACUACUAAGCUAGAGCAUGAGAGAGGUAGAUGGAAUUUCUAGUGUAGGAGUGAAAUCCGUAGAUAUUAGAAGGAACACCGAUGGCGUAGGCAGUCUACUGGCUCAUUGCUGACACUAAGGCACGAAAGCGUGGGGAGCGAACGGGAUUAGAUACCCCCGUAGUCC